Globicephala melas (long-finned pilot whale) is the source of this 1475-nucleotide long non-coding RNA. RefSeq lists it as uncharacterized. NCBI's taxonomy places the organism in Eukaryota, Metazoa, Chordata, Mammalia, Artiodactyla, Delphinidae. The record is from RefSeq and is a predicted model, not a curated record.
CUGUUCUAGACAUAAAGGAAUAGGCAGUGUUGUUAAGUUCCCUUCUUCAGUCUUCUCUUAAGCUGAAAGUCCAACGAUUUCAAGAUUCAAUUAAUUAGAGACAUGGAGAGCCAAAGAACAAGAUACCUGUACGGAGAGCUCCGGAGGCAUUUCCAUAGGCUCAUUGUCAAGUAAAUGUUAAAGCCCCCAUUCACUGGGAAGCAAAGGAUUGCUUUGGGAUCUUCUGCAUAUGAGAGAUAUUAAAAAGAUGAAACAGUAGGACUGGAAUCUGAGGGGAGAAAUAGAGAAAAACCUGGUUUCCAGCCUCUUUUAUGGGAGAAUGAGUUAUAUGUUUGCUUGACAGAAAUGGGAUUAUUUUAAGAGAUUAACACAGGAAAUAAUGGUACGCAGUACCAUUCUUCUGAACAGAUUUUGCUCCCAUCGUCCACCUAAUAAAUUCCCACUCAUCCUUCAAGACCCAGUUUAGAUGUCACCUCCUCAGUACCAGUUUGAACAUCAUCUACAUACAAUGAAUCAGAAGAGAUAUCAUGGCCCAAAGAAAUAUGCGAAGUGAGAUGAAAGCCAAAAACAUACCUUCAGCAAUGCCUAUAUUUAGGCAUAACUCCCUGUUAUUUCAGAACAGGCCCCAUGAAGGAGACGGAAAAGGAAUUUUUUAAGUUAUAGGAUGAAAACCAAUAGAAAUUUUGUUCCGGAGGCCAAUUAAAAUGACAAAGUAUUAAUAGAAAGGUUCAAAUACUACAGAGUUAUCAAUAAGAGGAGGAGGAAGACCAAAAAGACACAUUUGAGUCUUACUGAUGAUCUUAAUAAAGCAGUUUCAGGAGAGUUACUGAAUACUGCUAGAUAACUAUACUCUCCUUUAUUCUCCAGCCAAAAACAGCAAAAUACUCAGAGGACCUGAAACUACACGCACACGCGCGCGCACGCAUUUCCAUACAGAGAAAACCAGAUGGAAAAACUGACAGCUUGAGAUGACGUUUAAGAAGAUGAAGGAUCCUGGGGGUAGAGGGCAUUAAGCAAGCAGGGCAAUGAGAAGGAAACUUAGAAAAGGGAUUUUUCUCGUGUCUUUCCUUGGAGGGAGAUGGAGAUCCUGCUAAACAGGAAAAGUAAAGAACUUUUGUCCACCAUUCUCUAGAUUUUAUGUGUAGGUGAUUGAUUGUCUAACAGUAACAAAAUUUUCACAAUGUCAAAUGUUAAGGGUACAACAAAAGAGUUACAAAAGGAAGAUAAGGCUAUAACUUGAAAGUAGAAUUGAGGAAAAGAUUUUGCUAGGCUGAGGGAAGGAGACAGAAGAAAGGAAUACAUUGUCAAGACAAUAGUGAGAAGAGAAUUAAUGGAGUAGAGUACUAGAAGAGUAUUUAUGUGUGUGUGUGUGUGUGUGUGUGUGUGUGUGUGUGUACGUGUGCACAGGCACACGUGCUAGGACUGCAAGGAAAGAGGGAUUGGAUCAGGGUAAUAGUUUGGUUUACAUUCAAUUC